ACGAACGCUGGCGGCGUGCUUAACACAUGCAAGUCGCACGGAAAGGCCCUGCUUUUGUGGGGUGCUCGAGUGGCGAACGGGUGAGUAACACGUGAGUAACCUGCCCUUGACUUUGGGAUAACUUCAGGAAACUGGGGCUAAUACCGGAUAGGAGCUCCUGCUGCAUGGUGGGGGUUGGAAAGUUUCGGCGGUUGGGGAUGGACUCGCGGCUUAUCAGCUUGUUGGUGGGGUAGUGGCUUACCAAGGCUUUGACGGGUAGCCGGCCUGAGAGGGUGACCGGCCACAUUGGGACUGAGAUACGGCCCAGACUCCUACGGGAGGCAGCAGUGGGGAAUAUUGCACAAUGGGCGGAAGCCUGAUGCAGCAACGCCGCGUGCGGGAUGACGGCCUUCGGGUUGUAAACCGCUUUCGCCUGUGACGAAGCGUGAGUGACGGUAAUGGGUAAAGAAGCACCAGCUAACUACGUG
Molecule: ribosomal RNA, 467 nt
Filed under: uncultured bacterium
Lineage: Bacteria
Description: partial 16S ribosomal RNA
Rfam family: Bacterial small subunit ribosomal RNA
Source: RNAcentral